ACUCCUACGGGAGGCAGCAGUGGGGAAUUUUGGACAAUGGGCGCAAGCCUGAUCCAGCCAUGCCGCGUGCGGGAAGAAGGCCUUCGGGUUGUAAACCGCUUUUGUCAGGGAAGAAAAGGUUCUGGCUAAUACCUGGGACUCAUGACGGUACCUGAAGAAUAAGCACCGGCUAACUACGUGCCAGCAGCCGCGGUAAUACGUAGGGUGCAAGCGUUAAUCGGAAUUACUGGGCGUAAAGCGUGCGCAGGCGGUUAUGCAAGACAGAGGUGAAAUCCCCGGGCUCAACCUGGGAACUGCCUUUGUGACUGCAUGGCUAGAGUACGGUAGAGGGGGAUGGAAUUCCGCGUGUAGCAGUGAAAUGCGUAGAUAUGCGGAGGAACACCGAUGGCGAAGGCAAUCCCCUGGACCUGUACUGACGCUCAUGCACGAAAGCGUGGGGAGCAAACAGGAUUAGAUACCCCAGUAGUCCCAU
This 472-nucleotide ribosomal RNA is filed under the name uncultured organism. RNAcentral's name for it is "partial 16S ribosomal RNA". It matches the Rfam family "Bacterial small subunit ribosomal RNA", at positions 335 to 798 of the family's 1533-position model. The record is from RNAcentral.